CCGACUGAGUCCCCCAGGCGCCCUGGUUCUUCUGUUUCUUAAUUAGGAGGCUCUGGGGCUCCUGUUGAAGUCAUGUGGCCACUCCAGCCAAGCUCUUGGAGUCACCUGCUCCUGGAGUCCACGCACAGUGCCCGAGCCCCAUCUCAGAGCCAUGCCGGGUACAGAGCACUGGAGACAACUACCACCGUGAUGGGACCCCUCUCCUCCAAACAUUCUCUCGACUCAGGAGGUGGCUCCUUGGCCACAGACCACAGUGGUCCAGGGCUGGGAGAACACAGAUGGCCUGGGCCAGGUGGUCCCAGCGAAGACAGAACGCCCCCGCCGGGCAGAUGGGGACCUACGGGCAGUGCGCGUGGCAGGUGAAGUCUCUGGGGGAUGGCAGGAUGGCGGCAAUGUAUCUUGCCCGUGGGCCAGACACGAAUCGGGGACACAGGGCAUGACAUAGUGGGCGGCAGGGUGGACCCACAUAACAUAGGUCCACCCGGAACCUCAGAACGUGAGCUUAUUUAGAAUAAGGCACAGGGACCUGCCUCCUUAGUGCAGGAGGCAGUGCUCAGUCUCAGAGGAUGAGGCAAAGCCACCCAAGACGUCCUGGUGCAUUCUGGCCACCACCAGUAGUGAACUGGGGGCUAGGGAAGCCCAUGGGCUGUGUCAUGUGCACAUUGUCCUCGAGGCCACUCGGGCCCACUGGCGCUGGAGGAGGGGACAAUUGUUGCACCUGCCACACAGGGGCUGGGUGGGAGAAUGGAGCCUAGAGGCUUCUGAGAGUGAGGAGAGGGCAGAGCCCGACCAGGGACAAGGGGUGAUGCACCUGCGAGCUCUUUAAGUGGUGAAGUCAUCAGAAACUGUGAGGGGCGGUGGAGCGAGAGGGAGUGGAGACAGUGAGUCCCCUGUGGGGUCGUGGGGAAGUCAGGCGGCCGGGGCCAGUUGCCAGUUGGAACUGUGGGUGUGGCCCCCAAGAGACACUGAUGUCACAGUCAUCACCCAGGAGAGGAGCUGAGGUCAUGGGCAGGAACACGUAGGGCAGAAUGGGGGCUGUGGAGCUUGGGAGAGAUGGCCGGAACGGUGUGGAGAAGACCGGGAGCGGGGGACAGAGGAUGGGGUGACGAAGAGCAAGACCGAAGAAGGCAGCUGAGCAUGCAGCACGCGGGGCAGAGGCCAGGGGCCCAGGAGACGGGGCUCCUGAGGGACAGGAAGGGGACUCCGCCUCCUCCAAGCUUGGAUGCCAGGUGACUGGAGCCACGGCUGCUGGCGGCUUUGACCGGGGAAGGGCCGGAAGUCCAGGCAGCUCUCGCCUGACCCGUCGGAAAGGGCUUGAUGAUGUGGGUGGCAAAGGUGCCUGCCGGGAGGGACAGGCCGGAGCUGGGCUCCAGGAGACGUACUGGUCAGGAGUGGCCACCGGGAGCUGUGGGAAGGAGGCUGGCCAGGAGCAAGUAGACGUACAGGCUGACAGUGCAUGUCCGAGUGUAGACGGGGCCACCAGAGAAGCAGUGACGAGCAGAGGCUCAGCUGGGCCAUUCUGAGGAUGAGGGCUGGCGUGGCGGGGAAGAGGCCGUGAGCCCAGAGUCGGGGCCCCAAGAGUGGACCUGUAACCAGGCACUGAGGGCUGAGGAGGAAAACCUUGGAGGCCCUGGACUCUGACGGGAGGGUGGUCGCGUCAUGUCCAGGAGCCGCACUCUCGGUGCCUUGUUUUUUCUCUGAAGUAGGCUUCACAGUCGGCAGAGGCCAACACGGGGCUUGAACUGACAACUGGGGACCGCGGUCUUGGGAAGCAAAGUGAUGCCCGCUGGCCUGGAGCUCUGGGAGGUGGAGGGGGGGCAGAAGGAGCAGCCCCCACAGGCCAGAGGUCAGAGGAGAGCCGGGCCGCGGGAGUGUCUGCAUUCUGAAGGCAUGGACGCAUGGAUGUCAUGGGAGGAUCUUGAGGGCUGGUGAGGGGCUUGGGCAGAGGUGGGGCUGGUGCCGGGGGUGCCAGGGGCCAGCGCUGGCCGCGGGUGCACAGGGGCGGGAGCCAUGGGGGAAGGGUAGGCUCGGCUAAGAAGCAUACGGCAUUCUGGGCACCACAGGUCCCCCUUCCUGAAGACAACUUCUGGAUAAUUCUAUCCCUCGCAAUCCACAGAGCCUGUCUGGGCAGGCCACGGUGGAUGGGGCUGCCACCGGGAGCGGAGCACAGGAAGUUCGCUCUGACGAUUGGGAAGUCCUCCUAGGCUUAUAUCCUUGGGGACCCGAUCCUCGACACCCCUGUUCUCCUCUGUGGCUACAGAGAACAGGCAGUUCGAGCCAGGAGUGCCCCAGGGAGGCCGAGGCCACCGUCACAGUCCCUGUGGCUCCGGCCAGCUCUGCAACGGCAGGUCCCGAGAGCUGUCUUCCAGGUUGACGCAGCGGGUCCGGGGUUAGGCUGGUGGUUGCCGACAGCGGCCCCAGAGCGGGGGUCCACUGAAGAGACGCUUGCACUGCUGGAAGGCUCAGGCCACUGCUCCAGGUUGGUGACGGCAGAGGCAAACGGGACCCCAGAGCAGCCGGGGCUGAACCCUGACUCCCAGAGCCCCCACGGUCCCCAUCCUUUCUCCCUGUGGUGGUGACACAUUGCUGGCAACGGGGUAGGGAGGAGAGGGCCGGGCUGGCAGCUUGCGCCCACUGGGCAUCGCGGCUGAGGUCCUUCUGUGCGCCCCUGCGGGAGGCGGCCGGCACGGAGCGCACGCAGACUCUUUGCACCGCGGAAGCACACAGUGACAGACGGCGAUGGCUCUGAGGCUGUUACUCUAGCCUCCGCGGGCCUGCAAGGGGCUCAGGGACGCAUCACAGUGCCCCACCCAGAGGGUCGCCGUGCGGGGCCGGGCCGUGUGCCUGCCGGACUCUGAGCGCGAGGCCUGGGCCAUCCCCUUCCCGCCUCUCCGUGGAUAUGAACCAUCCCUCCGGCGUCCUGGCCCUCCCCUCCCUCUCCUUCCCCCUCUCGCAGCCCAGGGACCAGCCCCGAGGGGCGGUGGUCACAUGGCACCACACCUUCACACUCUCCUCUCCGCUGGGCGCUUGCAGGAUGCAAAUCAGUCACCAAUGUGGGAAGCAGGUACUGCGGGGCCCGUCUUUGUCACCCUGGAGCCACAGCCUCGGGCUCUACCCUGGCGGGGCUGGCCUGGAUUCAACGGUCCUACCAGGCCCUCUCCGCAGUCGGUUCUCUGCCAAUUCGGACCGCGCGGACACCUCUCCAGGGUCCCUCUGCAACCGAGAGCUGCCUCCUUCCUUGCUCUGGCCAGGUAGCUGGCCAUAUUCCGCCCCUUCCAGCCAAGAAUGACUGGGACCAGACCCAAGCCCCCAGGGCCCAAGUGGUCCCCUCUAUGGAGGCUGCAGCCUGGCCGGGGUCCUCGUCCUCGUCUCUCCAAGGAGAGGAGCAGAGCAGUGCUCGGUGCCCCCUGACCCCAGAGCGGCACCUGACCCGGCCAGCGGGGUGUCCGGCCUUGGUCUGGGUGCAAGGAGCCAACAGGGCCCAGCCUGGGCCCUGCGGUGUUGAGAGGGGACGCGGGGGACACAGCGGAGAAGCAGCCAGACUUUGUUCUCAAUCCCGUGACGGAAGGGGGCAGACCCCUGAGGAGCACGGUCGCAGGAUGAGAUGCUCCAACUCGAGAGGCACGUUCCGGUCAGGACGUGGAGACACGCAGCCGGAAAGGCGGGUGGGCCGCUCAGAGACCUUCCGAAGCUCAGCCGGUGGACGGGGGUCUACAGCAGGGGAGCAACUCCCUGCAGGCUCUGGGUACCCCCAAUCUCCCCGGCCAUUCUGGCUCCCCUCUCUUCUGCCCCAUUCAGCCCUCAAGUUGCCUGGGACAAGCCAGGAAGCCACCUGCUUCUGUCUCCUCCCCUUCCGUAGCAUGGGGGCUGGAGGGGCUGCCCGCCCUCCCUCCUCUUCCCCACUCACCUCCCUUUGCCCAUCCAGCCGAUGGGUGUGGGCGUCCGGCUCUCUCCCGGUAAAAGGAUUAUAUCAUCUGUAAUGUAUAUCCAGACACGCGCACUGCUUCUCGGGAGGACAAGACAAGGAGAGGGAGCCCACACAGCUGGCCGGAGGGGGCUUAUAACCGGGUUAUUGAACCUGAACCUGAGCCCUCCCAGAAUGGGGGUGUUAAUGGCUCCCGAGGUCACGGCCCCUCAGAAAUCAAUCGCUGCGCACUUCUCCUGUCCCUCCUCUCAUGUCGCUCCCUCCUGUCACCUCAGCUGCAAGUGCAGACCCCGGGAUGUGCAUUUGGUUUAAAAUGUCUGGACCUGGCCCUGUUGGGAGCCGCCACAGGCAAGUGGGGUGCUCCAGAACAGGGUCUAGGAUGCUCCUGAAGGCAUGGCAGCCGGUAGCACGACGCGCCUAGAAGAUGCUGGCUACAGCACCUCACGUGGGGGGAGGGGCAGGGCGAACCGCGGCACCCAGCCGUGGAGUGACCGAGUGACAGUGAUGGUGGCCUGGGGGCUGGGAGCGGGGUGGGCGGUGUCACAGGGGCUAACGGCUUCGGGUAGCACCCCGUGGGUGCCCAGAAAUAAAGCCUCAGGUGUGGUGUGCCCACGUGCCAGGGCGCCCCAGACGGGAGCAGGAUCUCCGUGCCAGGCCCACGGGAGGUAGGGCCUCUCCUCAAACUUUGCUUGCCUGGAAAGCGGCCCGGAAUCGGGACCUGGAAAACGGGCUUAACAGCACAUGCGGCCGGUCGGAGAAGCACAGGGUCGGAGCGGCAGGGCCCCCCCAUCCCGCACAGCCUGGUUUGCUCACCUGUCAGGUGCUGUUAUGGCCUUUUGGCUCCACACUGGCCCCCGGAGCCCUGACGCCGAAGGGGAGAAGAAAGUGCCAGCCUGGCUCUGGGGUUCCCUGGGCCUGCCUGCCGGAUGCACCUUCCAGGAGAUACAACCUCGGAAGGCCCAGGGGCCAGAGCAGGGGGUGGGCUGGGAGAGUGAGCGUCCCGCUGAGGCUGGAAGGGGUCAAAGGGCAAGGCGGGUCUGCCAGAGCGGCAGCAGCUGGGCUCUGCUCGCCCCGUCUCAUGGGUCCAAACUGCAGUGAGGCCAGUCCCAGAGGGCCCUGGGAGACCAUGAGGUCCUCCCCUCCCCCCAGCUGUACACAUGAGGAAACUGAGGCACCAGAGACAAAGCUGCCCCUCUCCUCUCUUUUCCAGGAAAUGACUCAGGGGAAUUCAGCAGUGCUGCAGACAGGAGCCAGGCAGCCAGGCCUCCCUUGGCUGCCCCCUCAUCCAUGGAGCUGCUGGCAUCCCAGCCCUGCCCGCCUCCCUCUCGAUGUCGCCCCAGCCUGGCCUCGCCUCGCCUCACUCUGAUCUCCCUGAGCAGAGGCACGGGAGACCCUGCCAGAAGCUGGUCUACAGCAGCCCACAGCAAUCGUGCCGCUUUUCAGCAUCCCUUGUGCCCCAUUCCAGGGGGGGCCAACUCACCCAUGACUCACGUGGGAGCCCCUCUAUGCUCCUCCCCGCCUCCUCCUCCCCACAGCAGCGAGCGGGGCAGAGAAUCCACUGAGUGUCCUUGUUCACACUCAGUUGGGGCUUCUGAACCCGGUGGGGCUCCACCGCCAUGUCGCCGUGUGACACCAGGAAACCAGUGCCUCAGUUUCCCUAGCCAGAUCCCCUCUGACUCCCAGACUGGCGUAAGGACAAAAUGAGGUCCUCGAUGGAGAUGCUUAUGGCCUUUGGUGCCGAAGAAAGCAAAGUGGGCCUGGUGACAAGGCCCCCUCUCAGGCCCUCCCCCAGCGUCCUGGCUCCACCCCUUCCAGGCACUGAGGCUCAAACGCUAUCAUUAUUAGCCAGAAUCUGAUACACAAGAAAGGGAGAAGACAGUGCGGAGGGACCUGGGAGCUGGGGGCGGGAGGGGGGGUUAUUUGUAGUAGUCAGACGGACCUCAUGCCCUCUCCCGCGUGGCAGUAGGAGGUGGCCCCAGGGGCCCAGCUGUGCCCGGUCCUCCACGGGCCCCUUCGCUUCCCUCGCUGGAAGCAGAGGCGCCAGCACGGAGUCUUGGGGCAACCCUCCCCCAGCCCAGGUCCAGCCUGGGUCGGGUCUCCCCACCCCACUCCCGCGCCCUGAGCCCGCGGACCCCAUGCCGCGAGCCUCCCGCGCAGAGGGUCCGCGGCGGGCAGAGCGGACAGUCUCGCAGGUGGGAGGAAGGCGGGCGGGGGCGGGGGAGGUGGAGGGAGACGCCGGGCAGGCCGCGCGGUCCCUCCCCUCUCCCUCCCUGCGCGCCGCCGGCGACAUCGCCCCUCCUGGGCAGGGGGCGGAGAAGACGGCGACGGGAAGGGAGGAGGCGGCGGCGGAGGCGGGAUUUGGAGUUUCCCUCCGCAGCGGCGGCGGCGGCGGCGGCGGCCCCUCGGCUUCAGGCGAGGCCGCCGCCUGAGGCUCCGGUGACGCUCGGCGGCAGCGGCGGUGGCGCUUCCCGCCGCCUGGGCUUCGGAAACUUCCCGGCCGCGACGCGCGUAGCCGGCGCUGGAAGCCGAGCGGAUCCGGGGUGAGCGGAGGUGAGCGGAGGUGAGCGGAGCACGCGGCUCCCCGGCACCCACCCACCCCACCCCCACCCAGCCCGGCCGCCCCCUCCGACGUGAGCUCCUCCACCCUGCACCCCAAAGUCUUGCCAAAGCGUAGCCCACGGGGCCGACGCACGCGCCCCUGUGAGACCCACUCGAUCCUGUCACCGCACACCCCCCGCAUCCCGCCCGUGCACCUCCCUGUCCUCUGCACGCGCGCGCAUCAACCACGCACCGCAGACCUAGUCCCUGCAGUGAGCACAGCAGCAGCCCCUAGCCCACCAGCCAGCGCUGCCCCCAACUCAGGCUAGCACCCAUCCCAGACCCAGUACACACCCAGGCGCGCGCGCGCGCGCGCACGCACACACACACACACACACACACACACACAAUCCAUCCCUGCCAUAUCUGCACUAACAUAGCUCCCCUCACGGUGCCACCACCAUCUCCAACUCCCCAUAUGCUCAUUACAGACACUCCACCCACGUUCCCAGCCCAGAGACACUGCUGCCACCCACCUACCCCUGAGUGAAGCCCCAGAACUAACUCAUGCCCCAGCAGCCGGCUCCCCACACCCCACACCGGGCCCAUUCCCCAGGCACACACCCCUAGCAUCCCCAGCGUGCACGCUCACACACGCCCCAGCACGUACGCACGCCUGCUGGAUUUACGCUCCCCGGCCCCAUCGCAGAUAGCCCCCCACACCCCCAGCACGUCCCCGAGGCCCUCCCACCGCCACCCCUGACACCUGGCACGCGGGCUCUAGAGGCUGCAGCAGUCUUCGCGUCCCUGCCAGGUGCCUCCCUAAACAGACCUUGAGUCUUCCCAGCGACUGGCCUGGGCUCUUCCCUAAGAGAUAAAGCAGGCACUUGGGGUGCAAGGUACCAUACUUAGAUGUGGGCUGGGGGAGGAGGAAGGGAGAGGCGGGCACCGAAAUGGAGGCAGCCCAUCUGGAACCAAAGGAACGCCAGUUGCCGAACAGGCACGUAGUAGGUCGGCUCCAGGAGGACGGGAGUCCGACACAGCGUGUGUGCCUCUCCGGGUGUGCCGUGAGGGCAGGGCUGGGCGUGCAUGUGUGCCUGUGCGUGUCCGUGGUGUGUGUGUGGGGGGGGGUGACCCGCGGGGAGAAACAGCACGACCAGCACCCCCCAGGGCUUCCUCAUGCAACAAUUGGUUUCAUUCAUUCA
RNA transcript from Felis catus (domestic cat), 7668 nucleotides. RefSeq lists it as uncharacterized. Lineage: Eukaryota; Metazoa; Chordata; Mammalia; Carnivora; Felidae. The record is from RefSeq and is a predicted model, not a curated record. The transcript has 4 exons.